UGGGGAAUAUUGCACAAUGGAGGCAACUCUGAUGCAGCAAUGCCGCGUGAGUGAAGAAGGCCCUUGGGUCGUAAAGCUCUUUUAUGGGGGAAGAUGAUGACGGUACCCCAAGAAUAAGCACCGGCUAACUAUGUGCCAGCAGCCGCGGUAAUACGUAGGGUGCGAGCGUUGUUCGGAAUUACUGGGCGUAAAGGGCGCGCAGGCGGAGGUGUAAGUCGGAGGUGAAAGCCCGGGGCUCAACCCCGGAGGGUCUUUCGAAACUGCUUCUCUAGAGAGGGUCAGGGGCCGGCAGAAUUCCUGGUGUAGAGGUGAAAUUCGUAGAUAUCAGGAGGAAUACCGGUGGCGAAAGCGGCCGGCUGGGGCCACUCUGACGCUGAGGCGCGAAAGCGUGGGGAGCAAACAGGAUUAGAUACCCUGGUAGUCCACGCCGUAAACGAUGAGCACUGGACGUUCGGAGGGUUCGACCCUUCUGGGUGUUUCAGCUAACGCAUUAAGUGCUCCGCCUG
RNAcentral lists this ribosomal RNA (506 nucleotides) under uncultured bacterium. Its description in RNAcentral is "bacterial SSU rRNA". It matches the Rfam family "Bacterial small subunit ribosomal RNA", at positions 355 to 875 of the family's 1533-position model. The record is from RNAcentral.